GGCGUAGCGUGGUCGUAGCGCGUCGGGUUCAUACCCCUCGGAUGGCGCAGGAUCGAAUCCUGCCA
Molecule: transfer RNA, 65 nt
Filed under: Achromobacter aegrifaciens
Lineage: Bacteria; Pseudomonadati; Pseudomonadota; Betaproteobacteria; Burkholderiales; Alcaligenaceae
Also listed under: 1 other name
Description: tRNA-Met
Source: RNAcentral